AAUAUUAUUCAUGUUCUUUUGGUAAACUCUGCGUCUAGCGUCCGGCGUCUCUAAAAACUCUGUAUUUCCAUUGAUUUUAAAGCAAGAAUGCAUAGAAACCAGUCAGCCGGUGUUAAUUAUAAGAGACGCAGCGUUUGAUUUCCGAUGAUAAUUGAUCGCUAAAAAUUCCAGCGGCAGUUACGACUCACAGCGGCAAUGUUUUUACUGUUACGACGAGAGUUUUUAUGUCGACAUCAUUUUCUGCGUCAGUUUUACACAAAGCAGUUGAUGUGAUUAUUUUGAGUCGUGACGCUAGACGCAGCGCG
RNAcentral lists this long non-coding RNA (305 nucleotides) under Brassica rapa (field mustard). Its description in RNAcentral is "long non-coding RNA (BRAP_LNC003779)". The record is from RNAcentral. Lineage: Eukaryota; Viridiplantae; Streptophyta; Magnoliopsida; Brassicales; Brassicaceae.